CAAAACAUGUAAAACACGAAAUUCAAUAAUUCAUGUAACAGUUAUUUAUGGACUCAAACUAAUCCUAAACUUUAAGACAUUGGACUUCAAUGGUAAUCCUAAAUCUUAAGGAUUUGAACUCCUAAAGAUAUCUGGACAGAAUUUCUAGCAAUGCUACAAGUUUCAAAAUUGCCCUUGAGACCUAAAGUGAUGGACCAGCAACUAUUUAUUUAAAUAAACACAUAAAAUAAGACUCUAGAAGGACUAGAAAGUAUUUUAUACUAUCCAAAGUAAACCCCAUAUUUUUCCUGUAACUUAAUUCUGCAUAUCUCGAGUUUUUACUCUUAUUUUUUCAUUAAUCUUUUUGUUGUCUACUUUAAGGCUCUAGGGCUGAUACCUCUACAAUGAGAGGGCAGGCAGCCUCCUAGAGGGAUCAGGUUUGUUGCCUUAGGCAUCCACCCGUUGUGAGGAACGAGGCUAAGGAAGGCGUACCUUCCUAGCUUCCAUUGCCUUCUAGACCCCUUGUUGUAAUUGCUGCCACUAUUACAAUCACAGUUCCUGUUUUGCCAGAAUCCAGGUGUCGACUAGCCUGCAGUUGCUGCAAAUGUCAUUGUUAUUCUCUGAAAUUCAUUGGAAUCUGUCCAAACCACCACACAAAGAGUUUCUAGGAACAAGCUCGAAAGGAAAGAGAGGAGCUAGACAAAAUGCUGGAAGAGAAUAGGAGGAGGGUAGAAGAAGCACAGCGAAGAGAAGCUCUAGAGCAGCAGCGAAAAGAGGAGGAACGAUUUCGUGAAUUGGAGCUCAUUCAGAGGCAAAAAGAAGAGGUUGCUUGGAGAAAAAAACUGGAAGA
Molecule: unclassified non-coding RNA, 829 nt
Filed under: Hevea brasiliensis (rubber tree)
Lineage: Eukaryota; Viridiplantae; Streptophyta; Magnoliopsida; Malpighiales; Euphorbiaceae
Source: RNAcentral